RNAcentral lists this long non-coding RNA (6409 nucleotides) under Equus caballus (horse). Its description in RNAcentral is "lncRNA (ENSECAG00000048486.1)". The record is from RNAcentral. Lineage: Eukaryota; Metazoa; Chordata; Mammalia; Perissodactyla; Equidae.
UCCUCAAAACCAGGAAGGGGAGAGAAAGGCCAGGCCCAGCAGGCAGGCAGCAUCAGUCAGGACCACGCUCAGCUGCGUGGAGGAGAGAGCUGGCUUCUUUGGCUUAGACAAGGGUGGCAAUGUUUUCCUCACUAAUGAGGAAUCUGGGCGGGGCAGUCCAGAGUAGGUGCUGGUGCCCGAGGAACUCGUGAGGACCUGGCUCCUUCUCGCUGCUCCUCAGUCACCUUGGCAUCGCGUCUAUGCUCCAGUCAAGGUAAAGGGGGAGGAACAGCCUUGGAGAUGGUGCCACGGAAGCUCCACCCUGUGAGUUUUGCCUCCAUUUGCAGUCAGCCAGCACUGAUUUCCAUGGCCUCUUCUGAUCAGAAGGGAAUCCGGGAGAGCAGAGGAGUUGUAACUGGCUGCUUUGCCACCCCAAAUAGAAUCGAGUUCUCUUGGAUGGCGCUCUCAGCAGAGGAGACCUCGGCCGGCCCGCUGUCUGCCCUUCUGCAGCCAAAAGCUGAGACGAAGGCACUGUUGGAAGCACUCUCCGGGCGGCAGCAGACGCUCAGAAUGGAGUUUCAAUUGAACUCACUGCAUUUCAGCUCACUGAAAAACGCAGCACACGGAAGGGCGCCACGAGAACACGCUGAAGGCCCAGAAUCGGGAGUGCGGGGAGGCUUCAUUAAAUCAGCCCUGAGGUUACAGGAAGGAAAAGCAAACCUCUCCUCCCAGAGUUGACCCGGCUCAAGUCCUGCGGCCGCUAGAGAACUUGGAGAUGUUAGCAGGAUGAAUGUAGACAUCCCGGAGUCGGGCACUUCCCUGCCAGCUGCACAAGCAAGAAGUCGGUGUAGAGACAGACACCGCUCUGACUGUCCACCUGGAUUCUGUGUGCAAGGAACACACAUGGCCAGAGAGGCUGAAUUACUGUUUCAGAUUAUGAUGCAAAGGACAGACUUUCUUGAAGGAGCUUACUUCUACCGACUCCUGUUAUUUGCCACUCAGGACCUGGGAGCCUCGAGCCGGCCCUGCAUGGAGAGUGCAUUUGGGAGGGUAAAGCAGGAACUAAACCUACCGGUUCCUGGACAGGGAGCUGUGGGGUCUGGAGUCCGAGCUGCGGGUUGUGCCACACGGGAAACACGUCUACAAGGGAAAGUGACAGGCUGUUAGGAGGGGGACCCAGUGUGUCACCAACUUAGCACGCACCCCAGGAAGGCCCCAUACAACCCCGCUGCCCCUCCUUUCUCACGGGACUCUCUCUAGGUGCACGGGCUUAAACGUGAUCACUGUUCACGCACCGCCUCUCAACAGCCCCUCUGUCCACGCCUCCCAGAAUUUGAAGACAGGACACACGACUGAAAGAAAGGGCAGGACUCACCUGAAACCACAGCCUUCAGUCUAACCACAGGACAGGAGGCGGAGAAUUAACUUUAGUUCAGUCAGUCCAUCCGCGCUGGGUGCCAGAACCCUGGUCACAAUGGUAUGGCCCGGCAGAGGGCACUGGAGGGCGUGGGUUCUGGGACGAAUGUCCCGUAGCAGAGAAAACAGUUUUCCUUGACCCUCUUGGUGUCCCUGGCUGGGUCUGAAAAUUAAACUGACAAAGACAGAUUAAUAGGAGAAAAGCUGACAAAUUCAUUUAAUAUCAGCUCCAUGUGUCAUGGGAGCCUAUGUUCAUAAGGAAAUGAAGACCCAAAAAAAGGGUUAAAACUGAGCGUUUUCAGGCUGUGCUGGAUGAAGAGUGGAGAGGCGUCGGAAAAUGACAUAGGACAAAGGGUGUGAGCUGAGGGGAUUGACCGGGGCGGGGGGGGACGAGGCAAGGCCUGUGGCCCGAGAGGACACCUCAGUGUCCCUCCAUCCUGCGAUAAGGAUGCUCCUGUCCUCGGGUACCAGGAGGGCACCUCUCACAUGAGCUCUUAGGACCUGCCUCAGGGGAGGCCAGAGAGCCCUGCCUGCACCUGCCGUUCCUCCGACUCCAUCAGCUUAAGACCCACGACAUGCAGGAUGAGGUGCGACAUUUUGGGGCAGUACGUCCUGAACCCCAUCAGUCACGAUGUGAAACAAAGGAGUCAGUGCCUUGGAACCGCCACCGUCUGUCCCAUCUGCAGUCCUGUAUUUCCUGGGAUCUGAAGGAAGUUCAUUUCUGAAGGCAAACUGGAGGCCCAUGCCACAGCCCAGUGCCGAUCCACGUCCCCUUAUUUUGGUGUUGCUGCUAGCACAGGAGAUGCGCAGUGUCUCAGAAACCGAUCUGCAUCUUGGCGAUUGAGAUGAGAUUUGUUUGGUAGAAAAACCAAAUGGUUUUCUAGAUGUUGGCUGUACAAAUCAUGAGGACUGCGCGAAAGUAAUGGGCUGAGCUGACUGCCAACAGGAACUGCUAUUUAAAGAUGGGUGUGGCGCUCAAGGAGCUACUGGAGUGGACACCGCCCAGCCUGGACCCCUCUGGCAGGCCACUUCCCCAGCUUCCAGGAGUGUCGGCUGCGAAUAUCGCACAGCUUCCCUUUCUCCAGAGAAUUGCCCUGGGCCAACAGAAGCCUCUUUGCAGGAGGCCACUGUCCUCUCCACCCAGCCUGUAGAAAUGAUGGACGGGACAGGAGGGGUACAAAAGCUGAGGUGCCUUGCUGGAGGGCCUCCCCCUCUUCCCCAGCCUGCUUCCCUCAGCUCCUGCAGCUUCUUCCUUUCAAGGACCCUCUCAGUGGAUCCCGGACCCCUGAAUUCUGUCUCAGGCUCUGCCUCAGGGAGCCCAGCCCUUCCCUAUCUUACUGUUGAAGACACGUGGGUGUGAGAGGUGGAGACAUAAGGGCGCCCUUGCUCUUCUGUGCCUGCAGUCGAUUUGGCAGGUUGCUUCUCGUGUGCUCUCUGCAGAAACAGAUGCCCUUGUGAUGACUGCAUCCGGGACCUCUGCGGACUUGAGCAGUUAUUUGAGUUCCAACUUUCACCAGUUGUGAGAAGACUUUAAAUAUUCUGACCCUAAACCGUCUUGGGAUGGCUGAUGUCAUGAAAAUUCUUGAGUCAUAGAAGCCAUUUGCUGUUUAUUCUGCUGAGAGUGUUUUGCAGAAUCUUUCAUCCUUGAGCCUUCUGUUGUAGUCUCAGGUCUGUGGCGUUUUUAAUGACUUGGAAACACGGGCCUGGACUAUCCAGAAGCCUCUGCUAUUCCUUUAUGGGGAAUGCUCUCUCCCUUCCCCUCUGCCGAAUCAAGUCCCUCAGCCUACAGAAACCACGCUCCUGGAACAUUCUCUGAGGACCCUGCCCCUGUCUGCUCACUCGGGUCACUCCUCCAUCCCUCUGACAUUGCUCAUUAGAAUUCCACAGAGGUGUGCUCAGUCAAAGUGAAGACACAUGCAGGCUUUCUUCAUUUAAAAUUAAAAAAAAAAUUUGUGGAGGGGCCAGCACAGUGGUGUAGUGGUUAAGUUCGUGUGCUUGGCUUUCGCGGCCCAGAGUUCAAGGGUUUGGAUCUGGGGUGCAGACCUACACACUGCUCAUCAAGCCAUUCUGUGGUGGCGUCCCGCAUAAAAUAGAGGAAGAUUGGCACAGUUGUUAGCUCAGCAGCAAUCUUCCUCAAGCAAAAAGAGGAAAAACAUUGGCAACACAUGUUAGCUCAGGGCCAAUCUUCUUCACCAAAAAAAAAAAAAAAAAUUGUGGAAUAACAUACAUAAAGGGCACACAUCUUAAGGGUGCAGGUUGAUGAAUUUUUACAAACGUAUUUCCCAGGAAAGCACCACCUGUGUCGAGAUCUAGGAUGUUUCCUUCUCAGUCCAUUAUCAUCCACCCACCAGGAACAGCUAUGCAGGAAAGCCACAGAACCCUUUUGCUGAUGGGUGAGCUGAGAUGGUCUGAGGCUAAGCGGCUGCCCCAAGUCCUGGAGAACAUCGGGGCGAAGUGAAGCUGUAAUCUCGUUGUCGCUGCCUCUCUCUCUGGGAUUCAGUCCUCGGCUUCCCUGAGCCCUGGGAGUGCUUAGGACUGUGCCAUGGAAGGAGACGCUCACACAGAUGGCACUGGGGGCCUCACGGUUUCGGAACCGUCCUCUUUUCAGUUCUUGUCGUGCUGUUGUUUCAGUGUGUGUGUGAGGGUUUGUGGCCUGUCCUUAACCUCUACCCUCUGUGACACUUUUUAUUGUGUUACUUUUAAGAAACCGGAUGUAGAAAGUUACAGGUUUAGGACACGAUGAGGGGAGCCGUUAGUCAGCGCUCUUCCACAGUGGACGCGCGUGGCGUUUCCAGUUUCUGGGGAGCUCGGUGCUCUGAGGACCACAGUUCAGGAGAGGCCGCUGUGCUGACCCCCUGUCCACCGUAUCUUUCCUUUUUGCCAUAAGCUCUCUUUUUUGUUUCCUGUGGAAUCACGUUUCCUAUUUAUAGUAGAAAUGAAUGGGAAACAGGAUUCAUUUGAUAAAAAGAAGUGAUGCCCAACUUCGCCAGAUAAUGUUUGAUGCCUUUGUAACAUAGAGAUACUCUCUAUUUGAUUCACAAACGUGUGCAAUUGGAACUACUCCAUGUAAACAACAUGCAGGAGGCACUUUUCACAUGAAGAGUUUGAAGACAGAGGGGCUAGGGGACAAAUUUGGACAAAUUUUGAGAGAAUUUGUAAAAUAAUUUAAAGUCACCUCUAUCUUCUCUUAAGUUUGGAGUUUGUUUGUCUUCACAUUGUUUAUCUUGAUGGGUUGUGCAGGGGAAGAAAAAUAUCUUUUCCUUCUACCCUUCUAGGUAUCUGGCUGGGGCCCUUCUAACAAAACACAGAUGAAUAAGAGAAAAGCAUAGAAAUUUAUUUAACAUAAGGUGUAUGUGACAUGGGAGACUUCGUGAGAAAACGAGGACCUGAAGAAGCGAUUGAACCUGAGUGUCUUUAUACUAGGUUUGAUGAAGAGCGGAAAGUCAUGGAAAAUGCGAUAGGACAAAGAGUAUGAGCUGAGGGGAGUGAACUGGGGAAACACAGCAAGGCCUCUUGGUCCAGAUCCUUCUCAGCAUCCCUCCUUCCUCGGAGGUAAGGAUGCUCCUCUCCUCGGGUACCAGGAGGGCCUCUCUCAUGAGGGUUUAGUGACCUGCUUCAGGGAGGGUCAGAGGGUCCUUCCUGCACCUGCUGUUUCUCAAAUUUCAGCUUAAACUAUUCAAUAUGCCAAGGUACCAUAUUUUGGGCUGUUGUGUCCUGAGCCCUGUCGUGGGGUAUAUUGAAAGCUUUCAACAUCACUAGCAUUUCAUUGCUUCUUUAUAAAUGGACUGAAAUGGGAAUUUCUCCCAAUUCCUAUCUUCUUUCUGUUUUUCUUAACUCAAAUUCAUGACUGAGAUAAUUGUAAUUUUCUUCUUGACUUCUAGUGUGAUUUAACAGGAUGCUCUAUGACCAAUAGCAUAUACGUUAGUGGCAAUUGACCCCUCAAUUUUGAGACAUGUUUAACUGUUUUUGAUUCCUCAAGCUCAAAUCAUGAAUGUACCCAAAUAAAGAAUAAAAUACUCUUCUUGAAAACACACACGCAGUAAAAUAGUAAAUAUGAACAAAGGAUCUGGUGCUGGCACAUGUUAAAAUUCAGGUAAUGAUGCUCUUUCUCUGUUUUGAAAAAAGUUAAAAUUCCACAUAGGUGCUCAGUCCAGGAAGGAAAGUCUUCACAAUCUACUUUGUUCAUGAGAUGCUUUAACAAUAAACAGCAUGGCUAUUCUGGAAGCACCUGUUAAACCAAUUAUAUGGCAAAUUUUCAAGUUCUAGAAUGAGCAGAUUUGUAAUUGGUGAAAGAUUUGAUAACCAAGAGAAGACAGGCUCUCGAGGAGACAGCAGGUGGUGAACAGGGAGUGUGUGAGCGGGAUCUUGCUGGUGUCUGUGUCUUACUGCAACCUGGAAAUUAGCCACUUUUACAUGCAAUAUUUUUUUUUCACGUAACAGUUCCCAAAUAAACAGUUAAAGCAGUUUCCGGUGAUUAAGGCAAUAUAGGAGAUUAGUUUUGUUAUGUAUAAUCACCUUUGCUUCUCCUUUAUUGAUGAAAAGAGUUUUUCUCAGCGGGUUGUGUUAUCUCUUUUAGAUGUUGCCUGAUCUUGUUUUUUAAAUGUAAAUCAGCUUUUUAAUCUUUUUUUAUGUAAAUUUGAUAGCCCGGUACCAGCAAUUAUUCUGCUUUGUUGCAGCUCCCUCUUUAGAACUGUCUCUGUUUUAUGUUUAAUUGUCCUAAUUGUCCAAAUUUGAAUAAACCUGGAGAACAGCAAUGGAGAUCAUUACUUGUUUUUAAAUUUACAAAAAGGUUUAAGCCCUGCUUCCUGAACUUCCCUUUAAGUCUUUACGUUGGUAAUGGUGAUCUGCGAGAUUGGAAAACCUUGUUAUUGUCCCCAGAGCUGCCACUCCAAAUUAUAGGUUUGUUUAUUCUUGUUUUACUACUUUAUAUCAGACUUCUCCUUCUUAUGAACAUGAUAAAAAGCUCAUCAGAGAAAAUUUACAUUCACUUUUUAAUCAGCGCAGGAGUUUAGCA